UAGGCAGAAGUCUGCUGGUUUGGGCACCUAGCUGUUAACUAGGAGAGUUGCGGGAUCGAGGCCCGCCUGUCUAG
This 74-nucleotide transfer RNA is filed under the name Bycanistes brevis (silvery-cheeked hornbill). RNAcentral describes it as "tRNA-Asn". The record is from RNAcentral. Lineage: Eukaryota; Metazoa; Chordata; Aves; Bucerotiformes; Bucerotidae.